RNAcentral lists this transfer RNA (74 nucleotides) under Erysipelotrichaceae bacterium. Its description in RNAcentral is "tRNA-Trp". It matches the Rfam family "tRNA". From Rfam's summary of the family: Transfer RNA (tRNA) molecules are approximately 80 nucleotides in length. Their secondary structure includes four short double-helical elements and three loops (D, anti-codon, and T loops). RNAcentral also lists the same sequence under 1 other name. The record is from RNAcentral. Lineage: Bacteria; Bacillati; Bacillota; Erysipelotrichia; Erysipelotrichales; Erysipelotrichaceae.
AGGGGUGUAGUACAAUGGUAGUACAGCGGUCUCCAAAACCGUGGAUGCGAGUUCGAUUCUUGUCACCCCUGCCA